CCCGAUGGAGGGGGAUAACUACUGGAAACGGUAGCUAAUACCGCAUAACGUCUUCGGACCAAAGUGGGGGACCUUCGGGCCUCACACCAUCGGAUGUGCCCAGAUGGGAUUAGCUAGUAGGUGGGGUAAUGGCUCACCUAGGCGACGAUCCCUAGCUGGUCUGAGAGGAUGACCAGCCACACUGGAACUGAGACACGGUCCAGACUCCUACGGGAGGCAGCAGUGGGGAAUAUUGCACCCCGGGCGCAAGCCUGAUGCAGCCAUGCCGCGUGUAGGAAGAAGGCCUUCGGGUUGUAAAGUACUUUCAGCGGGGAGGAAGGCGAUGAGGUUAAUAACCUUAUCGAUUGACGUUACCCGCAGAAGAAGCACCGGCUAACUCCGUGCCAGCAGCCGCGGUAAU
This 400-nucleotide ribosomal RNA is filed under the name uncultured bacterium. RNAcentral describes it as "bacterial SSU rRNA". It matches the Rfam family "Bacterial small subunit ribosomal RNA", at positions 129 to 524 of the family's 1533-position model. The record is from RNAcentral.